GGUCGUUUAGCUCAGUCGGUUAGAGCUUCGUGCUAAUAACGCGAGGGUCGCAGGUUCGAGCCCUGCAUCGACCA
Molecule: transfer RNA, 74 nt
Filed under: Perkinsus chesapeaki
Lineage: Eukaryota; Perkinsozoa; Perkinsida; Perkinsidae
Rfam family: tRNA
About the family: Transfer RNA (tRNA) molecules are approximately 80 nucleotides in length. Their secondary structure includes four short double-helical elements and three loops (D, anti-codon, and T loops). Further hydrogen bonds mediate the characteristic L-shaped molecular structure. tRNAs have two regions of fundamental functional importance: the anti-codon, which is responsible for specific mRNA codon recognition, and the 3' end, to which the tRNAs corresponding amino acid is attached (by aminoacyl-tRNA synthetases). tRNAs cope with the degeneracy of the genetic code in two manners: having more than one tRNA (with a specific anti-codon) for a particular amino acid; and 'wobble' base-pairing, i.e. permitting non-standard base-pairing at the 3rd anti-codon position.
Source: Rfam by way of RNAcentral